Molecule: ribosomal RNA, 459 nt
Filed under: uncultured bacterium
Lineage: Bacteria
Description: partial 16S ribosomal RNA
Rfam family: Bacterial small subunit ribosomal RNA
Source: RNAcentral
GAUGAACGCUGGCGGCGUGCCUAAUACAUGCAAGUCGAGCGGUAAGGCCCUUCGGGGUACACGAGCGGCGGACGGCUGAGUAACGCGUAGGAACGUACCCCAAAGUGAGGGAUAAGCACCGGAAACGGUGUCUAAUACCGCAUGUGGUCUAAGGAUUAAAGCCUUCGGGCGCUUUGGGAGCGGCCUGCGUAAGAUUAGCUAGUUGGUGAGGUAAUGGCUCACCAAGGCGACGAUCUUUAGCUGGUCUGAGAGGAUGAUCAGCCAGACUGGGACUGAGACACGGCCCAGACUCCUACGGGAGGCAGCAGUAGGGAAUUUUCCACAAUGGACGAAAGUCUGAUGGAGCAACGCCGCGUGCAGGAUGACGGCCUUCGGGUUGUAAACUGCUUUUAUGAGUGAUGAUUAAGACAGUAGCUCAAGAAUAAGGGUCGGCUAACUACGUGCCAGCCGCCGCCGUAA